AUGGGGAUGGGGCAGCACCGACCUACCCGGCGUGAAGAGGGCGAUGGCUUUGAGGCAGCUGUACUCGGCCGAGUCCACCUGGAGCCGGUUGAGCUUCUCCACCUGAUCCUGGAAGAUGCGGAUCUGGUCCAUGAAGGAGACGACGCGGUCGGCCGACAUGGGGGAGGCGUGGAAGCCGGCGGCGGCCAACAAGGGGGCCAUGUGGAGGGGCAGGGGCGACUGCGCUGCGUUGAGGACGAAGAGCUCGCUCCAGCUGAGCCGGAGCAGGGCCACCUGGUCAGAAACGGGCAAUUCGGGGAAAAAAGGGAUGUUCCUGGCCCAUUCCACCGUGCUGAAGAGGAGGCGGGCGGCCAGCUCGCAGAUGUUGUCGAUGCCCAUGAUGCUGCCCUGCUGGGCGUACUGGGAGCCGUAGCGGGCGGCGGGGUAGGGCUCAGCCCGCAGGAGCUGGGAGAUGAGCUCCGACACCGGCUGCCCGUUGAAGUAUUCCCCGCUGGGCAGGGUGUUGGGGCUGGUGCUGGAGUGGGUGGGGGGGAUCCGGCCCCGCUGCACGGCUGUGGGGAGGGAAGGAGAGAAGGUGUUUGUGUCCUGCUGCAUCAUCAUCCCCCCAUCCCGCUCCUGGGGUUCCCUCUGCCCUGUGGAGGGGGGAGAAAGAACCAGGACCCUCCCUCUCCCCACCCAGCAUCAUCCUCCAUCCCGCUCCUGGGGUUCCCUCUGCCCCACGUAGGGCAAGGAAGGAUGGGGAUGCUCCCUCUCCCCACUCAGCACCCCCCAUCCUGCUCCCAGAGGGCACAAGGGGUUCCCUCUGCCCCACGCAGGGCAAGGAAGGAUGGGGAUGCUCCCUCUCCCCACUCAGCACCCCCCAUCCUGCUCCCAGAGGGCACAAGGGGUUCCCUCUGCCCCACGCAGGGUGAGGAAGGACAGGGAUGCUCCCCCUCCCCACUCAGCAUCAUUCUCCAUCACUUUUCCGGGGCUUCCUCUGCCCCAUGGAGGGUGAGAAAGGACGGGGAUGCUCCCUAUUCCCGACCCAGCACCAUCCCAAAUCCACUCCUGGGGGUCACAAGGGGUUCCCUCUGCCCCACGGAGGGUAAGGAAGGACGGGGAUGCUCCCUAUUCCCAACCCAGCACCAUCCCAAAUCCACUCCUGGGGGGCAUGAGGGGUUCCCUCUGCCCCAUGGAGGGUGA
RNAcentral lists this long non-coding RNA (1182 nucleotides) under Calidris pugnax (ruff). RNAcentral describes it as "lncRNA (ENSCPUG00000001379.1)". Lineage: Eukaryota; Metazoa; Chordata; Aves; Charadriiformes; Scolopacidae. The record is from RNAcentral.